RNAcentral lists this small RNA (27 nucleotides) under Bombyx mori (domestic silkworm). RNAcentral's name for it is "ovarian small RNA-9046". Lineage: Eukaryota; Metazoa; Arthropoda; Insecta; Lepidoptera; Bombycidae. The record is from RNAcentral.
UGUCUAAGAAUUUUAUGAGUCUAUGGU